GUGGGGAAUAUUGGACAAUGGGCGAAAGCCUGAUCCAGCCAUGCCGCGUGUGUGAAGAAGGUCUUCGGAUUGUAAAGCACUUUAAGUUGGGAGGAAGGGCAGUAAGUUAAUACCUUGCUGUUUUGACGUUACCGACAGAAUAAGCACCGGCUAACUUCGUGCCAGCAGCCGCGGUAAUACGAAGGGUGCAAGCGUUAAUCGGAAUUACUGGGCGUAAAGCGCGCGUAGGUGGUUUUGUAAGUUGGAGGUGAAAUCCCCGGGCUCAACCUGGGAACUGCCUCCAAAACUGCAUGACUAGAGUACGGUAGAGGGUAGUGGAAUUUCCUGUGUAGCGGUGAAAUGCGUAGAUAUAGGAAGGAACACCAGUGGCGAAGGCGACUACCUGGACUGAUACUGACACUGAGGUGCGAAAGCGUGGGGAGCAAACAGGAUUAGAUACCGGUAGUCC
Molecule: ribosomal RNA, 448 nt
Filed under: uncultured bacterium
Lineage: Bacteria
Description: partial 16S ribosomal RNA
Rfam family: Bacterial small subunit ribosomal RNA
Source: RNAcentral